GACGAACGCUGGCGGCGUGCCUAAUACAUGCAAGUAGAACGCUGAAGGAGGAGCUUGCUUCUCUGGAUGAGUUGCGAACGGGUGAGUAACGCGUAGGUAACCUGCCUGGUAGCGGGGGAUAACUAUUGGAAACGAUAGCUAAUACCGCAUAAGAGUAGAUGUUGCAUGACAUUUGCUUAAAAGGUGCAAUUGCAUCACUACCAGAUGGACCUGCGUUGUAUUAGCUAGUUGGUGGGGUAACGGCUCACCAAGGCGACGAUACAUAGCCGACCUGAGAGGGGGAGCGGCCACCCUGGGACGGAGACACGGCCCAGACGCCUACGGGAGGCAGCAGUAGGGAAUCGUCGGCAAGGGACGGAAGUCUGACCGAGCAACGCCGCGGGAGGGAAGAAGGUUGUCGGAUCGGAAAGCUCUGUUGUAAGGGAAGAACGAGUGUGAGAGUGGAAAGUUCACACUGUGACGGUAUCUUACCAGAAAGGGACGGCUAACUACGUG
This 495-nucleotide ribosomal RNA is filed under the name uncultured bacterium. RNAcentral describes it as "partial 16S ribosomal RNA". It matches the Rfam family "Bacterial small subunit ribosomal RNA", at positions 28 to 507 of the family's 1533-position model. The record is from RNAcentral.